AAGAUUAAGCCAUGCAUGUCUAAGCACAUGCCUUAAUACGGUGAAGCCGCGAAUAGCUCAUUACAACAGCCAUCGUUUACUGGAAAAUAGUUGUCCUACUCGGAUAACUGUGGCAAUUCUAGAGCUAAUACAUGCGAAAAAACUCAGACCGAAAGGAAUGAGUGCAUUUAUUAGAAUAAAAACCAAUCGGGUGUAAAAAGCCCGUCGUUUGGUGAAUCUGAAUAACUUUGCCGAUCGCACGGUCCUAGUACCGGCGACGUAUCUUUCAAGUGUCUGCCUUAUCAACUUUCGAUGGUAGGUUAUACGCCUACCAUGGUAGUAACGGGUAACGGAGAAUAAGGGUUCGACUCCGGAGAGGGAGCCUGAGAAACGGCUACCACAUCCAAGGAAGGCAGCAGGCGCGCAAAUUACCCACUUCCAGAACGGAGAGGUAGUGACGAAAAAUAACGAGACAGUCCUCUUCGAGGUCUGUCAUCGGAAUGGGUACAAUUUAAAUCCUUUAACGAGGAUCUAUUGGAGGGCAAGUCUGGUGCCAGCAGCCGCGGUAAUUCCAGCUCCAAUAGCGUAUAUUAAAGUUGUUGCGGUUAAAACGCUCGUAGUUGGAUCUGCGGUUUUCGGAGAACGGUCCCCCGAAAGGGCGGUCACUGUUACUCCAAGCCUAUAUAUUCAGUCCGUUCUACGGUGCUCUUAACCGAGUGCCUAGAUCGACUGGAACGUUUACUUUGAAAAAAUUAGAGUGCUCAAAGCAGGCGGAAUAGCCUGAAUAAGGUGCAUGGAAUAAUGGAAUAGGACCUCGGUUCUAUUUUGUUGGUUUUCGGAAUCUGAGGUAAUGAUUAAGAGGAACAGACGGGGGCAUUCGUAUUCCGGCGCUAGAGGUGAAAUUCUUGGACCGCCGGAAGACGGACGACUGCGAAAGCAUUUGCCAAGAAUGUUUUCAUUAAUCAAGAACGAAAGUUAGAGGUUCGAAGGCGAUCAGAUACCGCCCUAGUUCUAACCGUAAACGAUGACAACCAGCGAUUAGUCGGCGUUAAUAUAAGACCCGACUAGCAGCUUCCGGGAAACCAAAGUUUUUCGUUUCCGGGGGAAGUAUGGUUGCAAAGCUGAAACUUAAAGGAAUUGACGGAAGGGCACCACCAGGAGUGGAGCCUGCGGCUUAAUUUGACUCAACACGGGAAAACUCACCCGGCCCGGACACUGUAAGGAUUGACAGACUGAGAGCUCUUUCUUAAUUCAGUGGGUGGUGGUGCAUGGCCGUUCUUAGUUGGUGGAGCGAUUUGUCUGGUUAAUUCCGAUAACGAACGAGACUCUGGCCUAUUAAAUAGUCGGUAUAUCUAGAAAAAGUAUACGGCACUUCUUAGAGGGACAACCGGCGUCUAGCCGCGUGAAAUAGAGCAAUAACAGGUCUGUGAUGCCCUUAGAUGUCCGGGGCUGCACGCGCGCUACACUGAAAGAAUCAGUAUGCGCCGUCGCCUAGUUCGGAAGAACCGGGUAACCCGAGUAAAUUCUUUCGUGCUUGGGAUAGGGAAUUGCAAUUAUUUCCCUUAAACGAGGAAUUCCCAGUAAAUGCGGGUCAUAAGCUCGCGUUGAUUACGUCCCUGCCCUUUGUACACACCGCCCGUCGCUACUACCGAUUGGAUGACUUAGUGAGGUCUUAGGACCGAGGUGAAGGUGCUUUAACGAGUGCCUACGCUUUGGAAAUUUGAUCGAACUAAGUUAUCUAGAGGAAGUAAAAGUCGUAACAAGGUUUCCGUAGGUGAACCUGCGGAAGGAUCAUUAACGAGCUAGAGAAAGACGAAUGAGCGUACGGGAGAGAUCCCGUACGUCUUUCUCGAGAGAGAUACGAAUGAACCUACUGGAGAGAUCCCGUGUAUGUCUUUCUCCAAAAAAUCCGGUCCGAGUGAACCGAGCGAAUUCCCGGCCAGGCGCUAGAAUGCGCGAGCGUCCGUGUGUCGGUUCUUUGCUAGGAUAACGCCUCGGAUCGGGACCCGAAAAUAGCGAGACUGAACCGUGAGUCGUCGUUGACUCGUCGAUAGUGUCCGAAUGAAUGGAGAAAUCGGUCGCUUCGUAGUCGAUCGAGCCGCGAUCGUACCGGUCGGUGUUUCCGUCGUGGGACAUUAGGACGGGUCAAGGUUGUAGCGGAGUUUGGAUACCUACCCGCCGUCCUAAUACGAAUCCUGCGUGAAUAAAGCGGAUAACCCGUCGGUGCGAGCGAUCGACAUGAGUGUAAGUCCAGGCUUCUCGGGACUUAUACUGUCCGAAUCGAAUGAAUGCUUAACGACACCGAGAAUAUAUCACGGAGAAGGUUACUCUUUUAGAGAGGUAGAACGGACGUCCCGGUAAUCCUACCCGUAGAAUGAACCAUAGGCAGGAUAGUUUUCCUUUCGACGGGAGCGAUUGCUUAUUCCGGAACCUAUCGAAUGCUAACGCACCGGUAAUCCGUCUGGGCGCUAACCGAAAGACGCGUUAGAUUCGGUAUCCCUAUUCGUCCUUUCGACUAGUACGUGACGAGCCUAACGGGAAAGGUUUAGGUUCCGAGCGCACGGUCCGAACGAACUCGAAGGCGAAUAGGGGUAGGUUCGAAGAGUCGCCGGUUCUUGUAGCACGGGUCUU
This 2610-nucleotide ribosomal RNA is filed under the name Xiphinema chambersi. Its description in RNAcentral is "SSU rRNA". The stretch from base 1 to 1776 matches the Rfam family "Eukaryotic small subunit ribosomal RNA". Lineage: Eukaryota; Metazoa; Nematoda; Enoplea; Dorylaimida; Longidoridae. The record is from RNAcentral.